Molecule: ribosomal RNA, 794 nt
Filed under: uncultured bacterium
Lineage: Bacteria
Description: bacterial SSU rRNA
Rfam family: Bacterial small subunit ribosomal RNA
Source: RNAcentral
UGCAAGUCGUACGAGAGUUUUUAACUCAAGUGGCGGACGGGUGAGUAACACGUAAGAAUUUACCUUUAGGAGGGGGACAACAACUGGAAACGGUUGCUAAUACCCCAUAUGCUUUCGAGUGAAAUGGAUUUUUCCGCCUAGAGAGAAGCUUGCGGCUGAUUAGCUUGUUGGUGAGGUAAUGGCUUACCAAGGCGACGAUCAGUAUCUGAUUUGAGAGGAUGAUCAGACACACUGGAACUGAGACACGGUCCAGACUCCUACGGGAGGCAGCAGUGGGGAAUUUUCCGCAAUGGGCGAAAGCCUGACGGAGCAAUACCGCGUGAGGGAUGACGGCCUAUGGGUUGUAAACCUCUUUUUUCAGGGAGGAAUCAAUGACGUGUACCUGAAGAAUAAGCAUCGGCUAACUCCGUGCCAGCAGCCGCGGUAAGACGGAGGAUGCAAGUGUUAUCCGGAAUCACUGGGCGUAAAGCGUCUGUAGGUGGUCCAAUAAGUCAACUGUUAAAUCUUGAGGCUCAACCUCAAAAUCGCAGUCGAAACUAUUAGACUAGAGUAUAGUAGGGGUAAAGGGAAUUUCCAGUGGAGCGGUGAAAUGCGUAGAGAUUGGAAAGAACACCGAUGGCGAAGGCACUUUACUGGGCUAUUACUAACACUCAGAGACGAAAGCUAGGGUAGCAAAUGGGAUUAGAUACCCCAGUAGUCCUAGCCGUAAACAAUGGAUACUAGAUGUUGAACAGAUCGACCUGUGCAGUAUCAAAGCUAACGCGUUAAGUAUCCCGCCUGGGAAGUAUGCUCGC